CCCCAGGUGAUGCAAAUGUUAACAUGUUUGGCUGUUAACCGAAAGGUUGAAGGUUCAAGUCCACCCCAGAGGC
This 73-nucleotide transfer RNA is filed under the name Loxodonta africana (African savanna elephant). It matches the Rfam family "tRNA". From Rfam's summary of the family: Transfer RNA (tRNA) molecules are approximately 80 nucleotides in length. Their secondary structure includes four short double-helical elements and three loops (D, anti-codon, and T loops). The record is from Rfam by way of RNAcentral. Lineage: Eukaryota; Metazoa; Chordata; Mammalia; Proboscidea; Elephantidae.